RNAcentral lists this ribosomal RNA (482 nucleotides) under uncultured bacterium. RNAcentral's name for it is "partial 16S ribosomal RNA". It matches the Rfam family "Bacterial small subunit ribosomal RNA", at positions 30 to 507 of the family's 1533-position model. The record is from RNAcentral.
AUUGAACGCUGGCGGCAUGCUUUACACAUGCAAGUCGAACGGUAACAGCACUUCGGUGGCUGACGAGUGGCGAACGGGUGAGUAAUACAUCGGAACGUGCCUAGUAGUGGGGGAUAACUACUCGAAAGAGUAGCUAAUACCGCAUGAGAUCUAAGGAUGAAAGCAGGGGACCUUCGGGCCUUGCGCUACUAGAGCGGCUGAUGGCAGAUUAGGUAGUUGGUGGGAUAAAAGCUUACCAAGCCGACGAUCUGUAGCUGGUCUGAGAGGACGACCAGCCACACUGGGACUGAGACACGGCCCAGACUCCUACGGGAGGCAGCAGUGGGGAAUUGUGGACAAAGGGCGCAAGCCUGAUCCAGCAAUGCCGCGUGCAGGAUGAAGGCCUUCGGGUUGUAAACUGCUUUUGUACGGAACGAAAAGCCCUCUUCUAAUACAGGAGGGUCAUGACGGUACCGUAAGAAUAAGCACCGGCUAACUACGUG